Molecule: long non-coding RNA, 2110 nt
Organism: Canis lupus familiaris (dog)
Lineage: Eukaryota; Metazoa; Chordata; Mammalia; Carnivora; Canidae
Exons: 4
Source: RefSeq, a predicted model, not a curated record
GCUCUCUGGAGGCCAAGCCCAUCUAUGGCCUCACACUCCCUAGGGUGGACUGGCUCCCUCAGGCACCUGCUGAAGUGAAGCGAUGACAGGUGCACAAACCCGAGCUAAUGAAGCCUAGGAAUUCAGUGUGCAAAUGGCUGAGAGGAUUGAAGUUGGAGACAGUAGAAGAUUAUUUAGGAGGUCAAUCAAUGAAGUAAGAAGCAGCUGAAUGAGAAGAUAGAUGGUGAAGAUCUUUGGAAAUGAAUUCAUGUCGGAGAUAAUGCACUUUCUAAUGAAGCCUAGGAAUUCAGUGUGCAAAUGGCUGAGAGGAUUGAAGUUGGAGACAGUAGAAGAUUAUUUAGGAGGUCAAUCAAUGAAGUAAGAAGCAGCUGAAUGAGAAGAUAGAUGGUGAAGAUCUUUGGAAAUGAAUUCAUGUCGGAGAUAAUGCACUUUAUCCUCACGAUGCGGAACAAAUGCAGGACUAUUGAAAAACUUUCUUCUGCUGCUUGUCUCCUUCCAAGCAUCACUUCCAGUCCUUUAUCUGGGUCCCUUCAUCUCCAUGGAACCCUUAAACCAGGCUGGGCAGAAAUAUAGUAUACCAAGCAGGGAAGACGUGGCAGGAACCAGUGGGUCUGGGUCAUUGGCAGGGGAGGAUUUAAGCUCCCUAAAGCCCAAUCUGAGGAAGGAUGAAAAGAGAGUUGCUGGCUGGUUGCCCCUCUUGGGCCCUCUGGUGGGUACAAAUGUUCACAGCCAGAUUUGACACACUUAAACCUCCCUACCUGGUUAUAGUUGGUAUGCAUUGCUACAUGGGCAAGCACUGUGGAGAGAUGGCGUGUGAAUGAUCUCCCAGAAGAAAGGACAAAGGGCUAAGCAAAACUCCUGAUUAACUGCACUGAGUCUGCCGGGCUGUAUCUCCUGGGCAAGGAAAACAACAGGCCAACAGGGGCUACCCAGCUCUUCUUUUCAAAACAAGAUCAUUAAGAAUGUUUACUGAAUGGCCAGGAUGCGUUAUUUUAGAGUCUCCAUAUUAUGCCCUAAACCAAGUAAUGUUGUACCUUGUGACAAAUUAUUUGGGAAAACCAUGAAACUUCAAUAUUAACGUAGCUCUUCUUUAACCUGCCACAGGAAUGCUGAUGCAAGCAAAGUAAAUUUAUGGGAUGGUUAAUGUUCCUCUCGAGGACUGAGCAGAGAAUAAGAGGAGAUUUUUACCAAGUCCCUUGCAUUUCGUAAUUUUCAUUACACUGCAAAUUGUGCCUCAAGGGGAUACCUUUGGAUGAGGCUAUUUCUGUUUACAUUUUACCGUUUUGUUUUUUCAAAGCCCAAGUCUAUGGAACAGGGACUAAGAAGACUUGUAGGACGUUGAAGUCAGAUACACAGAUGAAGCCUUCUGAACUCGACAUAUUCAGUUUGGCCUAACUGAAGUAACAAUCCUGGAUCACCAACUAGGAAAAAAACAGAGAAGACGGCCUAGAAUAUCCCAAGAGAAAGCAAAAAUAAAACCACUACAAAUGUAUACGUUCAAUACACCCUUAAAUUCAAAUUCAGCCUGGAGAUUUUCACCUAGAUGUUCCUGAAGUUAUGAUAUAGGAUUUUCUUAUCUUCCACUUGUCACUGUAUUUUUUAGGAUGGCACUCACCACUUAGAACCUGCAUUCUUUGUACAGAUGAUAGUUGCUAGGCCACUGGAAAACUAAAAUGCACAACCCUUGAAGAAAAAAGAAAUAGGUGAUAGACAUAAUGUAAAGGAAAAGAAAAAAAACAACUGUCUGUGACUAUAUAUCUGAUUCAGUUGAAUGAAUGAGAAUCAGAGUUUUAACAACUGAGAUUGUGCCCACCUACAAGACACAGUUUAGCUACUUUCUUGAAAAUAACCUGUCUCUCCAGUUGGCCAAACAGUUAAUUUGCUUUUAAAAGAGAGAUUUCUCCAUUUUAAGGUUGAACUAAUUGCUUGUUUGGCUGAACUAUUUUGGUUUAAAAUGAUCAAAUUAAAACUAUAUGUACCAAGUUGUUGUUUGAACUGCUUUAUAAUCCAAGCACUUCACCCAUGCUCCUAGGACAAUGGCUAAAAUGGGUGGGUCCCCAUAAACCCUUGUUCAGUAUCAGCACAGAGACUUCAUAUUUCAUCAAACAGU